Molecule: ribosomal RNA, 465 nt
Filed under: uncultured bacterium
Lineage: Bacteria
Description: partial 16S ribosomal RNA
Rfam family: Bacterial small subunit ribosomal RNA
Source: RNAcentral
CCUACGGGAGGCUGCAGUGGGGAAUUUUGCGCAAUGCUCGUAAGAGUGACGCAGCGACGCCGCGUGAAUGACGAAGGCCUUCGGGUCGUAAAGCUCUUUCGUCAGGGAAGAAAAUGCAUAUAAGUAACAGUGUAUGUAUUUACGGUACCUGUAUAAGCAGCCCCGGCUAACUCCGUGCCAGCAGCCGCGGGAAUACGGAGGGGGCGAGCGUUGUUCGGAGUGACUGGGCGUAAAGAGCACGUAGGCGGUUUUGUAAGUCAUUAGUCAAAGAGUAGAGCUGAACUUUAGUAAGGCUAGUGAUACUAUAAUACUAGAGUAUCAGAGAGGAUUGCAGAAUUCCUGGUGUAGCGGUGAAAUGCGUAGAUAUCAGGAGGAAUACCGUUAGCGAAGGCGGCAAUCUGGCUGGAAACUGACGCUGAGGUGCGAAAGCGUGGGUAGCAAACAGGAUUAGAUACCCCUGUAGUC